RNAcentral lists this ribosomal RNA (1381 nucleotides) under Promicromonospora sp. LCR44. Its description in RNAcentral is "bacterial SSU rRNA". It matches the Rfam family "Bacterial small subunit ribosomal RNA". The record is from RNAcentral. Lineage: Bacteria; Bacillati; Actinomycetota; Actinomycetes; Micrococcales; Promicromonosporaceae.
UACACAUGCAGUCGAACGGUGAAGUCCCAGCUUGCUGGGAUGGAUCAGUGGCGAACGGGUGAGUAACACGUGAGCAACCUGCCCUCCACUUCGGGAUAAGCCUUGGAAACGGGGUCUAAUACCGGAUAUGAGCUCGCAUCGCAUGGUGUGGGUUGGAAAGUUUUUCGGUGGGGGAUGGGCUCGCGGCCUAUCAGCUUGUUGGUGGGGUGAUGGCCUACCAAGGCGUCGACGGGUAGCCGGCCUGAGAGGGCGACCGGCCACACUGGGACUGAGACACGGCCCAGACUCCUACGGGAGGCAGCAGUGGGGAAUAUUGCACAAUGGGCGCAAGCCUGAUGCAGCGACGCCGCGUGAGGGAUGACGGCCUUCGGGUUGUAAACCUCUUUCAGCAGGGAAGAAGCGCAAGUGACGGUACCUGCAGAAGAAGCGCCGGCUAACUACGUGCCAGCAGCCGCGGUAAUACGUAGGGCGCAAGCGUUGUCCGGAAUUAUUGGGCGUAAAGAGCUCGUAGGCGGUCUGUCGCGUCUGGUGUGAAAUCCCGAGGCUCAACCUCGGGCUUGCAUCGGGUACGGGCAGACUAGAGUGCGGUAGGGGAGACUGGAAUUCCUGGUGUAGCGGUGGAAUGCGCAGAUAUCAGGAGGAACACCGAUGGCGAAGGCAGGUCUCUGGGCCGCAACUGACGCUGAGGAGCGAAAGCAUGGGGAGCGAACAGGAUUAGAUACCCUGGUAGUCCAUGCCGUAAACGUUGGGCACUAGGUGUGGGGCUCAUUCCACGAGUUCCGUGCCGCAGCUAACGCAUUAAGUGCCCCGCCUGGGGAGUACGGCCGCAAGGCUAAAACUCAAAGGAAUUGACGGGGGCCCGCACAAGCGGCGGAGCAUGCGGAUUAAUUCGAUGCAACGCGAAGAACCUUACCAAGGCUUGACAUGUACGAGAACACGCUAGAGAUAGCGGACUCUUUGGACACUCGUACACAGGUGGUGCAUGGUUGUCGUCAGCUCGUGUCGUGAGAUGUUGGGUUAAGUCCCGCAACGAGCGCAACCCUCGUCCUAUGUUGCCAGCGGGUUAUGCCGGGGACUCAUGGGAGACUGCCGGGGUCAACUCGGAGGAAGGUGGGGAUGACGUCAAAUCAUCAUGCCCCUUAUGUCUUGGGCUUCACGCAUGCUACAAUGGCCGGUACAGAGGGCUGCGAUACCGUAAGGUGGAGCGAAUCCCAAAAAGCCGGUCUCAGUUCGGAUUGGGGUCUGCAACUCGACCCCAUGAAGUCGGAGUCGCUAGUAAUCGCAGAUCAGCAACGCUGCGGUGAAUACGUUCCCGGGUCUUUAACACACCGAAAAAAUGAAUACCAAGAAUACUAGCCUAGUUAUGUCCCGCACCUUUACU